Molecule: transfer RNA, 74 nt
Filed under: Caerostris darwini
Lineage: Eukaryota; Metazoa; Arthropoda; Arachnida; Araneae; Araneidae
Description: tRNA-Lys
Rfam family: tRNA
About the family: Transfer RNA (tRNA) molecules are approximately 80 nucleotides in length. Their secondary structure includes four short double-helical elements and three loops (D, anti-codon, and T loops). Further hydrogen bonds mediate the characteristic L-shaped molecular structure. tRNAs have two regions of fundamental functional importance: the anti-codon, which is responsible for specific mRNA codon recognition, and the 3' end, to which the tRNAs corresponding amino acid is attached (by aminoacyl-tRNA synthetases). tRNAs cope with the degeneracy of the genetic code in two manners: having more than one tRNA (with a specific anti-codon) for a particular amino acid; and 'wobble' base-pairing, i.e. permitting non-standard base-pairing at the 3rd anti-codon position.
Source: RNAcentral
UCCAGGAUGGCCGAAUGGUUAUGGCGUCAGGUUCUUAGCCUGAUUACUUGUGGGGUCGAGUCCCACUCCUGGCU